Molecule: long non-coding RNA, 894 nt
Organism: Acanthisitta chloris (rifleman)
Lineage: Eukaryota; Metazoa; Chordata; Aves; Passeriformes; Acanthisittidae
Exons: 2
Source: RefSeq, a predicted model, not a curated record
CUGAUACUGACUCUAUGGUGGGAAAUCAAAUUUUUCUAACUCAUGUUCAUCUCAUUUCAAAUGUGUAUGGAAGAAGCACUUCAUUGAAAGCAGUGCUGUAAAUAUUCUGCCUUAGGAAUACUUCUGUCUACAUGCUUUCUCAUCCAAGAAUACUUCAUCACACCGCACAUGCUGCGUCUUAGACGGUGGGUGUUCCAUUUUUAUCCGCUACUCUUUAUUUCAUGGAGUCGUAUCAACGCUGUGAACGCAAGGCUGUGAGAUGGAACCAGAAGGCUGUUUGAACUUUUGAAACCUUGUGUGGGAUUGGUGGUGGUGCCGAGGCAUGAGAGGGCUGGUAUGAGCGAGAUAACAGGAGCGAGCGCAUGCAGAGACCUGGUGGUGCAGUAUUGGGAUUUUAUUUGACUUGGCGAGAUGUCUCUCAGAUCCUGUGGCUUUGGUGAGAGUGUGCGGAGAGCAAUGAUAGCAAACAAAAGUACGAGUGAUUCUUGCAUUCAAAGGACAUCCACAUGUGGAAGACUUUAAGUGGGUUCUCUACCUAGUCAAUCGAUUAGUUGAAUGUGUUACGUGAAAUGGAAUAUUUGUAUUUUUUUUCCCUUAUGUCAACUGCUGUGAAUGCUGUAUGGUGUGCGUUUUUUUUUUUUCUGUUAAUGACCUGUAAGUGUGGUAAUGUGACUUGAAGACGAUGGGGUUUGUGAUGACAACAUUGAGCUUGUGGUGUGCUUUGCAGUAGCUCUUGUAGCAGUGAUCACUAGAGCUCAGUGUGCCUCUCCAGGGUGGAAGUUCCACUGUCUGUAAGAUAUCCAUAAGAAUGCUGUUUGCUGCAGUUUCGUGUUUGGAUGCUUUUUAUAAGAUUUGUCACUGUAGGAAAUUCUUAAAUAAAACUGAUUUAAGUAA